Molecule: ribosomal RNA, 1109 nt
Filed under: Streptomyces rimosus
Lineage: Bacteria; Bacillati; Actinomycetota; Actinomycetes; Kitasatosporales; Streptomycetaceae
Description: bacterial LSU rRNA
Rfam family: Bacterial large subunit ribosomal RNA
Source: RNAcentral
GGCCGCAGAGACCAGCGAGAAGCGACUGUUUACUAAAAACACAGGUCCGUGCGAAGCCGUAAGGCGAUGUAUACGGACUGACGCCUGCCCGGUGCUGGAACGUUAAGGGGAGCGGUUAGCUCCAUUUCGGUGGGGCGAAGCUGAGAACUUAAGCGCCAGUAAACGGCGGUGGUAACUAUAACCAUCCUAAGGUAGCGAAAUUCCUUGUCGGGUAAGUUCCGACCUGCACGAAUGGCGUAACGACUUCUCGACUGUCUCAACCAUAGGCCCGGUGAAAUUGCACUACGAGUAAAGAUGCUCGUUUCGCGCAGCAGGACGGAAAGACCCCGGGACCUUUACUAUAGCUUGAUAUUGGUGUUUGGUUCGGCUUGUGUAGGAUAGGUGGGAGACUGUGAAGCCGUGACGCCAGUCAUGGUGGAGUCGUUGUUGAAAUACCACUCUGGUCGUGCUGGAUGUCUAACCUGGGUCCGUGAUCCGGAUCAGGGACAGUGUCUGGUGGGUAGUUUAACUGGGGCGGUUGCCUCCUAAAGGGUAACGGAGGCGCCCAAAGGUUCCCUCAGCCUGGUUGGCAAUCAGGUGUUGAGUGUAAGUGCACAAGGGAGCUUGACUGUGAGACUGACGGGUCGAGCAGGUACGAAAGUAGGGACUAGUGAUCCGGCGGUGGCUUGUGGAAGCGCCGUCGCUCAACGGAUAAAAGGUACCCCGGGGAUAACAGGCUGAUCUUCCCCAAGAGUCCAUAUCGACGGGAUGGUUUGGCACCUCGAUGUCGGCUCGUCGCAUCCUGGGGCUGGAGUCGGUCCCAAGGGUUGGGCUGUUCGCCCAUUAAAGCGGUACGCGAGCUGGGUUUAGAACGUCGUGAGACAGUUCGGUCCCUAUCCGCUGUGCGCGUAGGAGUCUUGAGAAGGGCUGUCCCUAGUACGAGAGGACCGGGACGGACGAACCUCUGGUGUGCCAUUGUUCUGCCAAGGGCAUGGCUGGUUGGCUACGUUCGGAAAGGAUAACCGCUGAAAGCAUCUAAGCGGGAAGCCUGCUUCGAGAUGAGGGCUCCCUCCCACUUGAUGGGGUAAGGCUCCCAGUAGACGACUGGGUUGAUAGGCCAGAUAUGGAAG